CCUACGGGAGGCAGCAGUGGGGAAUAUUGGGCAAUGGGCGCAAGCCUGACCCAGCAACGCCGCGUGAAGGAAGAAGGCCCUCGGGUUGUAAACUUCUUUUAUUCGGGACGAAACAAAUGACGGUACCGAAUGACUAAGCCACGGCUAACUACGUGCCAGCAGCCGCGGUAAUACGUAGGUGGCAAGCGUUAUCCGGAUUUACUGGGUGUAAAGGGCGGGUAGGCGGGAGAGCAAGUCAGACGUGAAAUUCCAGGGCUCAACCCUGGAACUGCGUUUGAAACUGUUCUUCUUGAGUGAUGGAGAGGCAGGCGGAAUUCCGUGUGUAGCGGUGAAAUGCGUAGAUAUACGGAGGAACACCAGUGGCGAAGGCGGCCUGCUGGACAUUAACUGACGCUGAGGCGCGAAAGCGUGGGGAGCAAACAGGAUUAGAUACCCGUGUAGUC
This 443-nucleotide ribosomal RNA is filed under the name uncultured bacterium. RNAcentral's name for it is "partial 16S ribosomal RNA". It matches the Rfam family "Bacterial small subunit ribosomal RNA", at positions 338 to 795 of the family's 1533-position model. The record is from RNAcentral.